AAGCGAUGUACCGAUGCUGCGGGUGCAUAGCAAUAUGCGCGGUAGAGGAGCGUUCCGUAAGCCUGCGAAGGUGACUCGUAAGGGUUGCUGGAGGUAUCGGAAGUGCGAAUGCUGACAUGAGUAACGAUAAUGCAGGUGAAAAACCUGCACGCCGUAAGCCCAAGGUUUCCUGCGCAACGAUUUUCGGCGCAGGGUAAGUCGGAUCCUAAGGCGA
RNAcentral lists this ribosomal RNA (214 nucleotides) under uncultured Uronema sp. RNAcentral describes it as "partial Bacterial large subunit ribosomal RNA". It matches the Rfam family "Bacterial large subunit ribosomal RNA", at positions 1184 to 1399 of the family's 2925-position model. Lineage: Eukaryota; Ciliophora; Oligohymenophorea; Philasterida; Uronematidae. The record is from RNAcentral.